UAUCAAUGAGCACAGUAUUCAUGUCUGUACUGUUACAUUACAGCACUUUAAUGCAGAUUUGUCAUUUUCCACAAGAUAAGAGCUCUUCUCUGCAGCACAGACUUUGUUCUUAAAUCUGUUCUUGCUUCUUUACUGUAUUUUAAGGUUUAAAAAACCCCAAAUAUGAUAAGUACAAGUGUCUACAGAGCUGUGUACAUAGAUUCAUACACGUUCUUUUCUUCACAGGGUCAAAAGAUACUCUGGGCAGUGAUGACUCUGGUGGUAGCUCUGGUGGUAGCUCUCGUGGUAGCUCUCGUGGUGGCUCUGAUGACUCUGGUGUGGCUGGCUGCAAUGGAAAUAGGGCCACAUGAAAAUCUCCACAAAAACCAUCGUUACCAUCAGCCGCACUGCUUCUGUGGAACUAAUGGAACCUGUUCAACAAAUCCAUUUACUUCUGGGGAGGGGAGAGAAAUUAAAGUGGGAGUUUGAAAACCAGAAGAAUAAUUCAACUUUAACAGUCAUGAAGAAGAAUGAACAAUUGAAUAAUCCUAAAAGAGACUACAUUGGUUUUUUUAAAGUGUUUUCCAGAUUAAAUACAAUAAACUGGCCUCAACCACAUUGGGAAAUAUGUCUAAAAACAUCAGUGAUGAGGAUGAAGAUUAGCAGUAAAAAGGCUUUGUAGCUGUAACGUUUCAGCAGUGAGCCUGAACAGUGUAGUAGGGGGUUUAGGUUUGAACUUGUGUGAUUGUUUGAAGUGUUGAAAUUGCUAGAAUAAGACGUUGUCACACUCACUUUGUCACUAGGAAAACAAACAUCACCUUUGAGAGCAGUGCUACCUGAAGUCAUGGUUCAAAGAACUGGUAAUGCUGUGAAUAAUGCUUGUUGGAUAUGGGUUAAGAACUCGCAAGUCAGGUGGAGAAUCAGGAAAGCAUUUAGAAAAAAGUAAUUUGUUAUAAA
Long non-coding RNA from Monopterus albus (swamp eel), 936 nucleotides. RefSeq lists it as uncharacterized. NCBI's taxonomy places the organism in Eukaryota, Metazoa, Chordata, Actinopteri, Synbranchiformes, Synbranchidae. The transcript is spliced from 2 exons. The record is from RefSeq and is a predicted model, not a curated record.